This 667-nucleotide long non-coding RNA is filed under the name Musa acuminata (dwarf banana). Its description in RNAcentral is "long non-coding RNA (MACU_LNC008975)". The record is from RNAcentral. Lineage: Eukaryota; Viridiplantae; Streptophyta; Magnoliopsida; Zingiberales; Musaceae.
GCUAGGAGGCGAGCAGCGGUCGCUGCACGGUGGCUGGCAGUGGUGGUGGGUCGGCUGGAAGGCGACGGCGCUUGAGGAAUGGCUGCGAUCGACGAGGGGCUGCGGCAACAGAGGAAGCUAUGUUUCUGCAACCGCUGCAACGAGGGCCUGCGGCAACCGGCCGCUGUGGCUGCGACCCAAGGGGGGGGGUCACGGCUAGGGUUGCGGCUGGGAGGCAGGCGGCAGUGAUCGAUCGGCCGGGAAGCAGCGACGGCAGUGGAGAAGGAGUUGCCCUGUAGCGGCGGUAGAGAAGAGGAGCAGGGCUGCGGCGGAGUGGGACGCUGGCAGCGUCGUCUCUUGGCAGCGGUGGUGGCUCGGGUGUGAGGAGGCGAUGGACUCUGGCCGGAAGUGGGGCAGAGUCGGUUGCUGGCCGGAGAGCAGCGACGGCCGGCGGGUGGGCUGGCCGGACGUAGGGGAAGCAGAGGUGCGUGGCUGCGGUUGCUGCUUCUUCUUUCUUUCUUUCUUUCUUUCUUUCUUUCUUUCUUUCUUUCUUCGUUUCUCUUUUUUUUUUUUUUUUAUAGCUUCGUUGCAGCGAGAACGCCAAGGAUCGCUGCUUUGAUACCAAAUGAUAAGACCCUAAAGUCUUAUCGUAGGCUCUGAUACCAAAUGAUAAGACCCUAAAGGUCUU